UUAAUUGAAACCAAAGUAGAGGUAUAUCACUGUUAAUGAUACCAAUAAGAAAUUCUUCAAUUAAA
RNAcentral lists this transfer RNA (65 nucleotides) under Anthrenus verbasci (variegated carpet beetle). RNAcentral describes it as "tRNA-Asn". Lineage: Eukaryota; Metazoa; Arthropoda; Insecta; Coleoptera; Dermestidae. RNAcentral also lists the same sequence under 1 other name. The record is from RNAcentral.